CCUACGGGAGGCAGCAGUGGGGAAUAUUGGACAAUGGGCGAAAGCCUGAUCCAGCCAUGCCGCGUGUGUGAAGAAGGCCUUCGGGUUGUAAGGCACUUUCAGUGGGGAAGAAAGCCUUGGGGCUAAUACCCUCGAGGAAGGACAUCACCCACAGAAGAAGCACCGGCUAACUCCGUGCCAGCAGCCGCGGUAAUACGGAGGGUGCGAGCGUUAAUCGGAAUUACUGGGCGUAAAGCGCGCGUAGGCGGUCUGAUAAGCCGGUUGUGAAAGCCCCGGGCUCAACCUGGGAACGGCAUCCGGAACUGUCAGGCUAGAGUGCAGGAGAGGGAGGUAGAAUUCCCGGUGUAGCGGUGAAAUGCGUAGAGAUCGGGAGGAAUACCAGUGGCGAAGGCGGCCUUCUGGACUGACACUGACGCUGAGGUGCGAAAGCGUGGGUAGCAAACAGGAUUAGAUACCCCAGUAGUC
Molecule: ribosomal RNA, 465 nt
Filed under: Vreelandella stevensii
Lineage: Bacteria; Pseudomonadati; Pseudomonadota; Gammaproteobacteria; Oceanospirillales; Halomonadaceae
Description: partial 16S ribosomal RNA
Rfam family: Bacterial small subunit ribosomal RNA
Source: RNAcentral